This 1378-nucleotide ribosomal RNA is filed under the name uncultured Pelagibacterales bacterium. RNAcentral describes it as "bacterial SSU rRNA". It matches the Rfam family "Bacterial small subunit ribosomal RNA". The record is from RNAcentral. Lineage: Bacteria; Pseudomonadati; Pseudomonadota; Alphaproteobacteria; Candidatus Pelagibacterales.
UAACACAUGCAAGUCGAACGAAGUAGCAAUACUUAGUGGCAGACGGGUGAGUAACAUGUGGGUAUCUGCCCUUUGGCCUGGAAUAACACGAGGAAACUUGUGCUAAUACCGGAUAAGUCUUUACGGAGAAAGCUUUAUGCACCAUUGGAUGAGCCCGCACUUGAUUAGUUUGUUGGUGGGGUAAUGGCCUACCAAGACCGUGAUCAAUAGCUGAUUUGAGAGGAUGAUCAGCCACAUUGGGACUGAGACACGGCCCAAACUCCUACGGGAGGCAGCAGUGGGGAAUCUUGCACAAUGGAGGAAACUCUGAUGCAGCGAUGCCGCGUGAGUGAAGAAGGCCUUUGGGUUGUAAAGCUCUUUCGUCGGGGAAGAAAAUGACUGUACCCGAAUAAGAAGGUCCGGCUAACUUCGUGCCAGCAGCCGCGGUAAUACGAAGGGACCUAGCGUAGUUCGGAAUUACUGGGCUCAAAGAGUUCGUAGGUGGUUGAAAAAGUUGGUGGUGAAAUCCCAGAGCUUAACUCUGGAACUGCCAUCAAAACUUUUCAGCUAGAGUAUGAUAGAGGAAAGCAGAAUUUCUAGUGUAGAGGUGAAAUUCGUAGAUAUUAGAAAGAAUACCAAUUGCGAAGGCAGCUUUCUGGAUCAUUACUGACACUGAGGAACGAAAGCAUGGGUAGCGAAGAGGAUUAGAUACCCUCGUAGUCCAUGCCGUAAACGAUGUGUGUUAGACGUUGGAAAUUUAUUUUCAGUGUCGCAGCGAAAGCGAUAAACACACCGCCUGGGGAGUACGACCGCAAGGUUAAAACUCAAAUGAAAUUGACGGGGACCCCGCACAAGUAGUGGGAGCAUGUGGUUUAAUUCGAAGAUACGCGCAGAACCUUACCAACACUUGACAUGUUCGUCGCGACUCUAAGAGAUUAGAGUUUUCGGUUCGGCCGGACGAAACACAGGUGCUGCAUGGCUGUCGUCAGCCCGUGUCGUGAGAUGUUGGGUUAAGUCCCGCAACGAGCGCAACCCUCACUUUUAGUUGCCAUCAUUAAGUUGGGCACUCUGAAAGAACUGCCAGUGAUAAGCUGGAGGAAGGUGGGGAUGACGUCAAGUCCUCAUGGCCCUUACGUGUUGGGCUACACACGUGCUACAAUGGUAUCUACAACAGGAAGCAAGACUGCGAAGUUAAGCAAAUCCCUAAAAGAUACCUCAGUUCGGAUUGCACUCUGCAACUCGAGUGCAUGAAGCUGGAAUUACUAGUAAUCGUGGAUCAGCGUGCCACGGUGAAUGCGUUCCCGGGUCUUGUACACACCGCCCGUCACACCAUGGGAGUUGGUUCUACCUUAAGGCAGGUUUUAAACCCUUGACCACGGUAUAGUCAGCGACUGGGGUG